AUUGAACGCUGGCGGCAUGCUUUACACAUGCAAGUCGAACGGCAGCGCGGGCUUCGGCCUGGCGGCGAGUGGCGAACGGGUGAGUAAUACAUCGGAACGUGCCCAGUAGUGGGGGAUAGCUCGGCGAAAGCCGGAUUAAUACCGCAUACGACCUGAGGGUGAAAGCGGGGGAUCUUCGGACCUCGCGCUAUUGGAGCGGCCGAUGGCAGAUUAGCUAGUUGGUGGGGUAAAGGCCUACCAAGGCGACGAUCUGUAGCUGGUCUGAGAGGACGACCAGCCAGACUGGGACUGAGACACGGCCCAGACUCCUACGGGAGGCAGCAGUGGGGAAUUUUGGACAAUGGGCGGAAGCCUGAUCCAGCAAUGCCGCGUGUGUGAUGAAGGCCUUCGGGUUGUAAAGCACUUUUGGCGGGAACGAAAAGGACUGUGCCAAUACCACGGUUCGAUGACGGUACCCGCAGAAUAAGCACCGGCUAACUACGUG
RNAcentral lists this ribosomal RNA (484 nucleotides) under uncultured bacterium. RNAcentral describes it as "partial 16S ribosomal RNA". It matches the Rfam family "Bacterial small subunit ribosomal RNA", at positions 29 to 507 of the family's 1533-position model. The record is from RNAcentral.